Long non-coding RNA from Planococcus citri (citrus mealybug), 2198 nucleotides. RefSeq lists it as uncharacterized. The transcript is spliced from 3 exons. NCBI's taxonomy places the organism in Eukaryota, Metazoa, Arthropoda, Insecta, Hemiptera, Pseudococcidae. The record is from RefSeq and is a predicted model, not a curated record.
AAAGCAUUUCAAAUACGUAAUGUUCUGUUUUUUUUGGGGGGGGGAUGGCAAUUUUUUUCAACAUUGAAAUGUCUUGCUCGCGUUUUGUUAGUUUUUUGGUUACUUUUUCAAGCUUUUUUGGUUACCACUGUUACUUUUUUUUAAAGAAAUUGAGUACGAGCCCUAAAUAACGGUUCUGUUGGAUUGAUGAGAUGCAACAUAAUGAGCUGCAUGUUUUUUUAAGAAACAAAAAUUGAAAUGGAUUUUCAAAAUUCUGGUGAAAUAUACUAAAUAGCUGGGUGUUUCAUAAUGGACGUCAAAUACACACCCAAUUCGCCAGGUAGUGUAAUAACUCCAAGGGGAAAAAGUGUAAAUUGGAUCAUUGACGGUAAAAAUUUGAGAGAGCAAAGUUAUCUUCUAGUACUGUAGGUGCAUUUUUCGAAGUAGGAAAAAUCAAUUCAAGAGCAAUUAAUCUUUUAAAAAGCACGUUGACUGGCGGUCUUUUGCAUUAGUCUCGUCUGCAUAGAUUUUUUAAUAGGUACCUAGAUAAUAAAAACCGGAUGCUGUGUAAGGAUUACUGGCGCGCCUGGGACCACAUUCUUUCAGCGCAUGCGCGGGUAGAAGGGUAGUUUUACUAGGGAUGAUUCAACGCGAAAGAUGUAUCAUUUUCAUUAUUUGUGAACUGAAGCAGCGUACAGCUCUGUGAAGAAGGCUUUUUUUUGUCAUUUUUUCGUGUUUUUGCAUUGCAUUUUAUCGAGUACCUAUACUUCUGUUUAUUGUGCCAUCCAACGUUUGAAGCCUGCUACAGUUGAAUUAUCGACUUUGAAAAAACGUUACUAAUUUCUCCAAUUUACGAGACAUGGAUUAUAAGGGAAUACUGAAUUUCGUCAAGGACUACAAUAAUGGGCAGAACCCGGGUCCAUACACAGCAGAAGAACAACGUAUACUCAAACACGUAAGAUACAUCAGCGUACCGUGCGCUUCUAAUGAAAACAGACACCUCACGCUGUUUAUUUGCCGACACCUCGUAGACUUUCAAGAACCGCCGUUCAAUCAGUAUCAGUUGGUAGAUGCGCUGCCCCUAAAGAAUAGAAGAAAACCUCGCUGCUCGUGGGCAUUGCUGUAUAGAUUUGUAGAUGAGAACGCUCAGUAUUCUGACGGUGGCGAAGCGGCAAAAAGGGCGAAUUAUGUUCUCCGAAGCAUGCAUCCUACAAACGUGCAUGAAGAAACGAAAAUAUCGAAAGUAACGAUAGAUAAUCAGGACUUUUGGAGGAGGGUCAUUAGACUUAAUAAAGGUCUGCCUCUGCUUGAUUGCAAUUGCGGGCCGAUUACUGAAAAUUUCGUGACGCAGUCCAAUUUGAACAUGAUUGUGGAAACUGCAGAGGAAUACAGGGAAAGCUUGAAAAAUUAUCUUAAUCUUCGACUGAAGUUAAUUGUCGAUGCAGACCAGAAGACGGUAGGUUCGAUUGAUGAUGAGUAGAUGACUCUGUAGUCCAGUCAUAGAUUUACCUUUAUGACGAGAGAUAGCUUAACCUGUCAAAAAAAGUGUUGAACCAGUUCCAGGAAAAAGCAAAUUGAUAAACCCAAAUGACAGAAGAAACAAAACAAUUACUCAACAAUAUACGUAAUAAACUUGAAAUGUGGUAAUACAAUUAUCAGAAAAGAAAAAAAAGUCAAGAUAUAUCUUCUCUCAUUAAUUAUCCAGUAGGUAUAUUUUUGAAAUUGUUGGUAUAAAUAGAGUUACAAUUAUUAAACUUUUUCAAUUCAGUGUCUAAUUGCUUUCUUAUUCGUUACACCUCACAUAUACUGUAAGUUAAAGUGAAAUUGUGUUCGGUGUCUGUCAAAAACCUACAAUAUGAAGUCAUUUGUUGCUGCAGUUUUGCUUAUCGCGUGUUAUUUGACCAUCUAUGGAGUUCACGCCGUACAUGAUCUUCCUCUUCCUUCAAUUGAAUGCUGCAGAGAACCUACACCAGAUCCGGAGGCAUGAUCCCAAAUGAAGAAUUUUGAAUUUAUUACAAUGAAGUUUCCAUUGGUAGGCAAUAGGCAUACACAUUUGCUCAAAAAACCUCUCAAUAGUUUCUUCUACGAAUAUAUUCCAUUAUUAAGCGUUAUGAAUCUUAUGUUCGUAAGUUCUUAUCUUUUCAGUUAUGUUCUUUUUCUGCUCAAAUAAUAUUGUAUUUGCACAUAUUGUACUUAAUAGAUUACAUUUUACCCACUGA